GACGAACGCUGGCGGCGCGCUUAACACAUGCAAGUCGAACGGAAAGGCCUGCUUUCCCUUGUGGAUUGCGGGUACUCGAGUGGCGAACGGGUGAGUAACACGUGAGUGAUCUGCCCCCAACUUGGGUAUAAGCCUGGGAAACUGGGUCUAAUUCCCGAUAGGACUGCAGGGUGGUGCCUGUGGUGGAAAACGAUUUUCUAGUGGUUGGGGAUGAGCUCGCGGCCUAUCAGCUUGUUGGUGGGGUAAUGGCCUACCAAGGCGGCGACGGGUAGCCGGCCUGAGAGGGUGGACGGCAACAUUGGGACUGCGAUACGGCCCAGACUCCUACGGGAGGCAGCAGUGGGGAAUAGUGCACAAUGGGCGGAAGCCUGAUGCAGCGACGCCGCGUGGGGGAUGACGGCCUUCGGGUUGUAAACUCCUUUCGACCGCGAGGAAGCCACCUGGUUGGAAGGGUGGUGACGGUAGUGGUAGAAGAAGCACCGGCUAACUACGUG
Molecule: ribosomal RNA, 494 nt
Filed under: uncultured bacterium
Lineage: Bacteria
Description: partial 16S ribosomal RNA
Rfam family: Bacterial small subunit ribosomal RNA
Source: RNAcentral